Rhineura floridana is the source of this 476-nucleotide long non-coding RNA. RefSeq lists it as uncharacterized. The transcript is spliced from 4 exons. The record is from RefSeq and is a predicted model, not a curated record. Lineage: Eukaryota; Metazoa; Chordata; Lepidosauria; Squamata; Rhineuridae.
UACUGCUCAUGCCAGAAAUGCACCCUUCUGAAACUGACUCCUGUCCUGGGAAAAAGAUAUUACUGCUCAACUCUUUAUUUGGAGUAUUUAGUAAAUACAUCUACUGACCAGCCUUAGCUUUCCAAGCACGACAGAUGUUCAGACAAUAUACUAUAUAGCAGUGAAGCUUAAACUACUAUGGGAAGGAAGAGAGUGCUGGAACCGGAUGAACACUGUAAGUGAAGAGUGACUAGCCAUUGAGGUCUACAUCCUGCAUCAGCAACCAGUCCACAAUGCCACCAUAUCUCUACAAUGAUGGAACAGCAUUAAAAGUUGUGACGCUGUGGUGGCUGCUAGCAAAUCAACUACUAUACUCCAUCCCAAGUAUUACUCUGCAGAUGCACUCAGUCCUCAGAUAAGACCAUCAGCAGUUUUUGAAAUAUUGUUAUUUGCUCUUUAUGGAGACAGUUCAAUUCCAAUAAAGUAUGAAUUACAAA